UACGUAGGUGGCAAGCGUUGUCCGGAAUUAUUGGGCGUAAAGCGCGCGCAGGCGGUUCCUUAAGUCUGAUGUGAAAGCCCACGGCUCAACCGUGGAAGGUCAUUGGAAACUGGGGAACUUGAGUGCAGAAGAGGAAAGCGGAAUUCCAGGUGUAGCGGUGAAAUGCGUAGAGAUGUGGAGGAACACCAGUGGCGAAGGCGGCUUUCUGGUCUGUAACUGACGCUGAGGCGCGAAAGCGUGGGUAGCAAACAGG
This 253-nucleotide ribosomal RNA is filed under the name uncultured bacterium. Its description in RNAcentral is "partial 16S ribosomal RNA". It matches the Rfam family "Bacterial small subunit ribosomal RNA", at positions 524 to 776 of the family's 1533-position model. The record is from RNAcentral.